AACGAACGCUGGCGGCAGGCCUAAUACAUGCAAGUCGAACGCACCGCAAGGUGAGUGGCAGACGGGUGAGUAACGCGUGGGAACCUUCCCUAUAGUACGGAAUAACUCAGGGAAACUUGAGCUAAUACCGUAUACGCCCUUCGGGGGAAAGAUUUAUCGCUAUAGGAUGGGCCCGCGUUGGAUUAGCUAGUUGGCGGGGUAAUGGCCCACCAAGGCGACGAUCCAUAGCUGGUCUGAGAGGAUGAUCAGCCACACUGGGACUGAGACACGGCCCAGACUCCUACGGGAGGCAGCAGUAGGGAAUCUUGGACAAUGGGCGAAAGCCUGAUCCAGCCAUGCCGCGUGAGUGAAGAAGGCCUUAGGGUUGUAAAGCUCUUUUGGCGGGGACGAUAAUGACGGUACCCGCAGAAUAAGCCCCGGCUAACUUCGUGCCAGCCGCCGCAGUAACAC
Molecule: ribosomal RNA, 450 nt
Filed under: uncultured bacterium
Lineage: Bacteria
Description: bacterial SSU rRNA
Rfam family: Bacterial small subunit ribosomal RNA
Source: RNAcentral